AUGGUAGUGUGUGCCUGUAAUCCCAGCUACUCAGGAGGCUGAGGCAGGAGAAUUGCCUGAACCCAGGAGGCGGAGGUUGCGGUGAGCCAAGAUCACGCCAUUGCACUCCAGCCUGGGUAACAAGAGCGAAACUCCAUCUCAAAAAAAAAAAAAAGACACAAGAAAGGGAAGGGAUAAUCAAGGAAGGCAAGUCCUUGAGGAGGUGAGAGGAGAUGAUGUCAGGGACAUGGGUGGAUGCAGAAAGAGAAAGAUUCAUCUCAAAGUCAAUGAAGCCAAAGCCUUGGGGCUCCUCACUUGCAUGGGCCUAACUUUCAACCCCCCGAGUUACGUAGGUUUUAGGCUUCCACAAAAUACGGUUCUGUCCCUGUGUAGAGGGACUGACCUUGACAGAAAGAGAGAUGCCUCAGUGCUUCUCAGAACUUGAGCGCUGACAGUAAAGUAAAGCAACCCCCAAAAGUGUAACUGACAGAGAAAUAUAACAGAGGAAUCCUGGGCAUUGGUGUCCCUCGGUUUGAGAACCACUGAUCUGCUUGAGACAUUCACACACCUGAUUGGGAACAAUGAGAUCUGAGGUCUAUGUCUGGCUUUACCUGUACCAUGUAAGGGACUGCUUCCUGGGCAAGCAGCCUAUACAGGGCCAGAGUUCCCAUGCUUGGUUUAGUGCUUUGCCGUCACUGUCUUGAAAUUCCUUGUAGUAAUUGAACAAAGAGUCCCACAAUUUCCUUUCGUGAAUGAAAAUUCUAUAAACGAGCCCUAUAAAUUCUGUAAUUUGCCCUGGUCAAACAUUGAUUUAGUAGCCUUAUUUUGUGACCUUGGGCAAGAUAUUUGACUUAAAAAAAAAAAAUUGAGCUGCCCGGGUACAGAGGCUCACAUCUAUAAUCCCAGCACUCUGGGAGGCCAAUGCGAGUGGAUUUUCUGAGGUCAGGAGUUCGAGACCAGCCUAGCCAACGUGGUGAAACCCCAUCUCUAUUAAAAAUACAAAAACUUAGCCAAGCAUGGUGGUGUGAGCCUAUAAUCCCAGCUACUUGGUAGGCUGAGGAAAAAGAAUCGCUUGAAUCCAGGAGGCAGAAGUUGCAGUGAUCUGAGAUCACACCAUUUCACUCUAGCCUGAGCGACAGAGAAAGACUGUCUCAAAAAAAAAAAAAAAAAGCUAUGUCUGGGUGUGGUGGCUCACCCCUGUAAUCCCAGGACUUUGGAAGGCCAAGUCAGGAGGAUCACUUGAGCCCAGGAGUUUGAGAUCAGUUUGAGCAACAGAGGAGACCGCCUUUCUAAUUUAGCCGAGCACAGCGACACAUGCUUAUGGUGCCAGCUACUUAGGAGACUGAGGUGGGAGGAUAACUUGAGCCUGGGAGGUCAAGGCUGCAGUGAGCUGUAAUUAUGCCACUUCACUCUAAUCUGGGCAACAGAGCAAGAGACCCUGUCUCAAAAAAAAAAAAAAAAAAAUGGAGUGAUAAUUAACAUACCCUAAAUACUUGAGUUAUUUGUGCCUCAGUUUCCUCAUCUUCAAGAAGCCAUAAUAAAUAUCCCCUCCCAGGGAGGUAGUGUGACAAUGAAUGCAAGUUGUCAAUGAAAGACAAUGAAAGUUCUGUGAGCUUCUCUAAUGACGUGUUUUUUUUUUUCCAUGAGGCGAGUGCUCACAUGUGUUGCAUACCCCUGCUUAUCAUUCCUGGGCUUCUUGCAGCUGCUGAUGAGGCUUUCUAUUUUUAACCCACUCUGACAUGCUUUUUUUCUUCCUUUUAACACCCAACAACCUUUGCCAAAUGAGACCUAAAUACAUGGAUCACAUCAUAUUCUUUCCCAAGCUGUCUCUGCUCGCUGGGGUUUGAGUCUCUCAGUGAUUCCCCUAUACAGAAGGCAGACCUGACACAAAUUCAAGACAGGAAAGGGCAAGAUAUUGAAGCCUUCAAAAUCUUCUUUGGAGAAAGACACAGACCACAGACUGUUUCUGCAAUUCCAUGUUAUGUUCUUUUGGGCAUGUCCUUAAUCUUGGCAAAAUAAACUUCGAAAUUGAUUGAGA
This is a long non-coding RNA of Callithrix jacchus (white-tufted-ear marmoset), 2017 nucleotides long. RefSeq lists it as uncharacterized. NCBI's taxonomy places the organism in Eukaryota, Metazoa, Chordata, Mammalia, Primates, Cebidae. The record is from RefSeq and is a predicted model, not a curated record.